This is an RNA transcript of Nerophis ophidion (straightnose pipefish), 2457 nucleotides long. It is a transcript of the gene named alpha-(1,3)-fucosyltransferase 7-like, with no coding region annotated. The transcript is spliced from 3 exons. The record is from RefSeq and is a predicted model, not a curated record. NCBI's taxonomy places the organism in Eukaryota, Metazoa, Chordata, Actinopteri, Syngnathiformes, Syngnathidae.
AUGGACCGCUCGCCUGUGUAUCGGUUGGGGACAUCUCUACACUGCUUGGGAUGGUUUCCUGUGGACGGGACUCUCGCUGCUGUCUUGGAUCCGCUGUCUUGGAUCCGCUUUGAACUGAACUCUCGCGGCUGUGUUGGAGCCACUAUGGAUUGAACUUUCACAGUAUCAUGUUAGACCCGCUCGACAUCCAUUGCUUUCGGUCCCCUAGAAGGGCGGGGUUGCCCACAUUUGAGGUCCUCUCCAAGGUUUUGUCAUAGUCAUCAUUGUCACUGGCGUCCCACUGGGUGUGAAUUCUCCCUGCCCACUGGGUGUGAGUUUUCCUUGCCCUUAUGUGGGUUUUUCCGAGGAUGUCGUAGUCGUAAUGGUUUGUGCAGUCCUUUGAGACAUUUGUGAUUUAGGGCUAUAUAAAUAAACAUUGACUGAUUGAAUACGUAUUUAAAUCAUCAUCUGCACAGUUCCCCAACCAUUUUUCUUCUGAGCGCUACUUUUACAACAUUGGUGAAUUGACAAAAACUAAGCUCAUUGCAGGCGUUAUAUUGGUACAAUAAUAAUAGUUCAGGUAUGUUAGAAGUACAUUCUUUGAAUACCAGAGUAGGUCUUUUUUUUAAUCGUUUCACAAACAUGUUUUGCAAAUCCCAAACUUGUGUUUUUAUGAAUCUUCUCUCUCUUUUGGAUAACAUAGUCCAGAUUUGAGAACUUUGAGGAGCUGCUUUGCGUGAAAUAAAAUGCACAAUUAAUCCGUCUCAAUACGUGAAUAAUGUAACCAUCUGUUGUGAUUAAUGGCAUGUGUUCAUGCCUCAAAUUUGGCACAUGUGUUAGCGUGUGGAUUGUUGUUGGCAAGUCUAGUCCAAAACGUCCACCUUUGCUCUCCAUGAACCAGAAAGUCCGGGCCGUCAUCUUUCUAAUUGGUUGGUGGAAGGUGACGUCGAGAAGACAGAACCAGUUUGGUUUGUGGUUAAAACCGGAAAAGGGCAUCGCUGUGAAGAAAUCAUAUUCUUAGUCCAAAAAGAAUUGAAGACUUCACAGGACUGCUACCAUCCCAGAGAGGUCACAUCUGCCUCCAUGAAGAAGUACCUCUUGCUCUGCAUCCUCAGCAUUCUAGUGCUGGUUCCUCUUUACGUCUGGCUAAAUGGAUCCUUGUCCCGAAGAUGGUGUCCAGAAGUUUCCUUGUCCGACAACUCAGAGCCACGCAACGUGACCAUCUUGCUGUGGCACUGGACCGCUGAACGUGCUCGGGCUAUCAGCCAGAACAUGUGCUGGGAACGUUUCAACAUCCCACACUGUAAAGUUAUGAUGCAGGAUGCCAUGUACAUGAAGGCAGACGUGGUGGUGUUCCAUAACCUUGAGCUGUCAACAGGACGGAUGAAACUGCCCCUGGAUCUCCCCAGGCCGCCGGGCCAGAGGUGGGCUUGGAUGUCCAUACAGUCCCCUGAUAACAACGGGAGACUGCUGAGAGAAUAUGGAGGCGUGUUCAACCUCACCGUGAGCUACAGGAGGGACGCAGAUGUUAGCAUACCAUACGGUGGGUUUGUACCACGAGAGUUUGGAGAUCCAGUGGACGACAUCCCAAUGAAGAAAACUGAUCUGGUCUGCUGGGUGGUCAGCCACUACAAGGAAUCCUUCAGAAGAAGCCAAGUGUACAAAGAACUCAGCGCGGUCAUUCCUGUAAAGGUCUAUGGACGCUGGUUCAAUAAAACUCUUGCGCCUAAUGACCUUCUUCCUAUGAUAUCUCAUUGCUACUUCUAUUUGGCCUUCGAGAACAGCAUCGGCAAAGAUUAUAUCACAGAAAAACUGUGGAUCAAUUCCUACCAAGGUGGGGCGGUGCCGGUCGUCCUGGGACCACCGGUGGAGGAAUACGAGGCCGUGGCGCCGCCUCACUCUUUCAUCCACGUCGACGAGUUUGCUUCGGUGAAAGAACUUGGCGAGUAUCUGCAGGAGCUGGCGGGCGACGCCAAGCGUUAUGGCGAGUAUAUGCAAUGGAAGAGAGACUGGAAGGUGCAACCGACCAUUAACAAGGAAUGGAGAUUGUGUCAGAUCUGCCUGCGGUACCCCAGCUUUCCUCCGCACAAAGUAUACACUGACCUGGCAGCCUGGGAUAAAGCUACUUAAAAACCUCUGAAGUCCGACAUCAUCCAGCCAGGAAACAUUUGUCCUUCAUGACAAAAAUGAAAGAAUCAGCCGGAUGGCUUCCCGGCCUGCACCUGGCGGUGGAGGUAUGUGGAGGGGGGAGUGGCCUGCAGCGGAACGCGGUGUGCCAGGACCGGCCUCGAAGACAGAGACAGGUGCGUAGAUGGCCCAGGUGGGCCCUGUUAUCUAAUCACCUGUCGCCUUUAUUAGCAGCAGACGGAAUGAGACACGUGGUUGGAGUUGAAGUGGGAGCCAGAGAGAGAAAGACGUUUUGCUGGAAAGCAGAAGCUAUUGAUAUUUAUGAAAAUAAAACAGUGUUAUACCCUGAAA